Molecule: ribosomal RNA, 115 nt
Filed under: Klebsiella pneumoniae
Lineage: Bacteria; Pseudomonadati; Pseudomonadota; Gammaproteobacteria; Enterobacterales; Enterobacteriaceae
Description: partial 16S ribosomal RNA
Rfam family: Bacterial small subunit ribosomal RNA
Source: RNAcentral
AAAUUGAAGAGUUUGAUCAUGGCUCAGAUUGAACGCUGGCGGCAGGCCUAACACAUGCAAGUCGAGCGGUAGCACAGAGAGCUUGCUCUCGGGUGACGAGCGGCGGACGGGUGAG